GAAGCCAGGCGCUUUUCUCUUCCCCUCCCCAAGACUACCUUUAUCUGAAAGAAGAAAGAAGGAACUGUUACAUUUUGCAUGCAAAGAAAGCCAGAGUGGCUAGAUUACUCCCUUAGGGUAAUGGAGAAAGGAAAAAGAAAUUGAAAAAGGUCAGGUGAACAAAGCAGAAGGAAUGAAGAGGUUUGUGUGAUUCUUAGUGAAAUUGGACCAGUCUAAGCAACCAGACAGAGUUUCGCUCUUGUUGCCCAGGCUGAGUGCAAUGGCGCGAUCUCAUCUCACUGCAACCUCUGCCUCUCGGGUUCAAGUGAUUCUCCUACCUCAGCCUCCUGAGUAGCCAAGAUUACAGUCUUUGCUACAGCAGUGUGUUCCUCUCAAGUCACCCACUCGUUCCUCCAGGGGUCAUUGGAGAGUUAUUAUUUUAAGUCUAGUUCCCAGGUAUGACUUCCAAUGCAGUGAAAGCUUCUACUGAGACUGUCUAAAACAUCUCUUGAAUCAUCUGCCUAGAACACAGCAAGAACCAGGAAAUGAGCUGACAAGACUGAGCAAAAGAGGCAGCAUCAAGCUGAUGAACUGAGGCGUGGGCAUUUUACUCAUGGGAAAGGCCCUCGGAACCCACGCUGAGCAUGCGCUGAAAACAAGUGUGAUCAGUGGGUUCCAAACACCCAGCAGAUACAUGUGAGGGUGAUCUGGCUGUGACAUCUGUCACCCCCUUGAUUACCAGGGUUGAUUCGGUUGAUCUGGCUGGCUAGGUGGGUGUCCCUUUCCCCACUUACUGCUCCAUGUGUGUCCCUCCUGAAUCUGUGCGCUUGGUUGAAGAGGAUGACCAUCCCGGAUAGAGGAGGACCAGUCUUUGGUCAAGGGUAUACAAGUAGCUGUGCCCGCUUGCUAGAACCUCCAAACAAGCUCUCAAGGUCCAAACAUCCAGCAGAUAAUUAGCAAUGGAUUAGAAAAGGGAGCUGGGAAGGUGGAAGGAAGCAGAAACAGUGAGCCCCCGAAUGAAAGAGACAGAAAAACUGAAACCUCAGAAGAGAGCAGUGUGGGGCUAAUGAACCUAAAGGCAAAGGGCCCUACCCAUCAACAGCCCCCAUGAGGGUAGUCACUGGGGGGCCUGAGGAUGCACCAUCAGGGAGAAGUUCAGUUCAGUGUAAUCUGUGGAAGAAAGCAGAGAGCACAGCCUGUCAUGGAGAAGGAUUUCCAUUCAAAACCAUAGAUGUCAUAGAAGUUUCGAUGCUUAAAAGACCUGUGAUCGUCUAGAAAGCUUGGCUUUUCCCAAAGGAUUCUGUGAGGCUGAAGUGUUACCAGGUGAUUAAGGGUCUCACCCUGUCACCCAGGCUAGAGUGCAGUGACACAAUGAUAGCUUAUUGUAACCUCAAACUCCCGGGCUCAAGGGAUCCUUCUGCUUCAGCCUCCCAAGUAGCUAGGAUUACAGUGCAGUUCAGGAAACCAGGCUGAAGAAUGUGAAAUACAUCGCCCAAAGUCAGACACGGAGGAAUGACUGCUUCGGAGCUAGCAAGUUCCUGAGCUGGAAUUGCACCACUGGCCUGUAGAAUCCAAACUGUUUUCUACCAGAACAACUCCUUCCCUGCAGGAAGCAGGGUGUGCACAGCUGAACCCUGGUCUGAGAAGGUUGAAGUCACUGACUCAGCCCCAGCAAGGAAGUUGCCCUUCGACUUCUGACCUCUGGCCCUGUUUGAAAACCAACUCAAAUCGUUUUUCUUUUUCAGAAGCUGCUUGCCUCCGCUUCACCUUCCACCAUGAAGUUUCCUAAGGCCUCCCAGUCAUGCUUGCCGUUAAAACUGCGGAACUUAAAUUUCCACGUAGAAGACAGGCAUUGUUGACCUUUAUCACUGACCUUAAAGUAGCAGAUGUUUCAUAAUUCAACUGUCUGCUGGCACUGUGAACUUGAGAAAAUGCCCUAAUCACCGUUAAUCUGUAAAAUGGGAAAAGAAACAGGAAAAAGAAAGGAUGAUGCCAAAGAUUAGAAUGAUAAAGAUGACGUUACCUGUCACGGGUCUAUUCUGGGCUGGAAUGGGAGUGGGAGUGGGUGAGGUGGAGUGGAGUGGGAAGGGGUGGUAAUCUGUGGGACUUUUCUGGGUGGCAAGAAGAAGUGGAUCACGAAAAUCACCUUUAUCCUGGUCAGGUGAUGGCUGUGAAUGGCUCCCUUUGACACUGAAGAUGUUCCAGUUGGGAAGCAGAUGUCCUGCAGGGGCCCUGCAGUAAUGGUAGCAGUUAUAAUAUUGACGUGAUUGCUGCUGUAGAAGAGAUGCCAGCUUUUGUCUAAGAGGAAUCUGAACAGGUCUGGGCUUAUGUGUUGAAUUGGUAUGGCAGGCUUGCCAAAAGAUUGUUAUAAAUUAAGGAUUCUUUGGGGAAGGGAUUCUUUAGGAAGACAGGAGCAACCGGGCAUGAUAACCAAUCUUAGAUCUCCAAAGGGGAUGGUGAUUUGUGCCUCUAAUCAAAGUUCCCUCCUCAGAGAGACCUUCUCAGAUCAUCUUAUCUGAACUGAUGCUCUCCCUACCUCAUAUCUCUUAUAAAAAGAUACUCCUUCACGCUUUAACAUUUUUCUCUGUGGCAUUUAUUAUCUAAAAUGAUCUUACUUAUUGCUUUGUUUGCUUAUUUAUCAUCUUUUCUCUCAUUGACCAGAAAGGAGGUUUCACAUCAGGGACUUCUUUUUUAUUUCUACUCUAGGCCCGAUGGCUAGAAGAGGGCCUACUGCAGAGUUGGUGUGCAAUGAGAGAAUGAAUAUUGUCCAGAGAAGAAGCUGUCUCAAAUUUUUCCCUAACACAGCCUCAUAGAGGCUGUAUAGAGAGAAGUUUAUAAGCAAAAACUGAAAGACUAACUAGGAACCCUGGGACCCAUGGACCUUAACAGAUCCUGGGCCUCAUUCAACAGCAGGACUAUUAGCCCACACCCCUUUUUCCCUUUAGCUGUUUGGAUCCUCCAAGUGUCCCAGCUCAAGGCAGCAUAAAAGCCACCUGAAACGUGUCCCACUGUGGGAGCCCAAGGCUUUAAGGCAUGUUCAUUCCUUUAGGAGCAUUUAGGAAGAUGGUGUUUCAGGAUUUCAGAAUCCUCUGAGCAUGAAACCCCAAAUGUGACCUAGGUACCUCCUUAGGUCACAUUUGGGGUUUCAUGGCCCCUCUUCUCAAUCCAGACUUUGACCAUAAGUCAGAGAGAAUGAUAUAGUCUCUGUGUUGCCCUCUGGAGGAUCUAAGAGGGCCAAAGUAUUAUACAGGCAGCACAUGACUACAUAAGGAGGUUGCAGGAAGUAGGGAAAACAUUAGACUUUGAUCUUAGGUAGGUCCUAAGGUAGGUAGAAUGCUAGUUCUUUCAUUUGAUAACUUUGAAACAUACUCAAAGUAUUUAACUUUUCUUUUCUUUUCUUUUUUUUUUUUUUUUGAGACGGAGUCUCACUCUGUCGCCCAGGCUGGAGUGCAGUGGUGUGAUCUCGGCUCACUGCAAGCUCCGCCUCCCAGGUUCACGCCAUUCUCCUGCCUUAGCCUCCCGAGUAGCUGGGACUACAGGUGCUCGCCAUCACGCCCGGCUAAUAUUUGUAUUUUUAGUAGACACGGGGUUUCACCGUGUUAGCCAGGAUGGUCUCGAUCUCCUGACCUCGUGAUCCGCCUACCUCGGCCUCCCAAAGUGCUGGCGUGAGCCACCACGCCCAGCCAGUAUUUAACUUUUCUAAGCCUCAAUUGUCUGUCAAAUGUAAAUAAUAAUAUGUUGGUAAAUUUGGAGUAAUUCCCUGUAGUCUGAGUCUCCUUACUGAACUGACUACAGUUGGCUCUUUGUAUCUGCAGGGGUUGCACCCUUGGAUUCAAUGUACCAAAGAUUAAAAAUGUUUUAAAAAAGCCCCAAUAAAACAAUACAAAAAAUACAGUAUAACAACUGUUUAUUUAUCAUUUACAUUGCAGUAGGUAUUAUAAGUAAUCUAGAGAUGAUUUAAAGUAUAUGGGAAGAUGUGUAUAUGUUAUAUGCAAACUCUGUGCCAUUUUAUGUAAGAGACUUGAGCAUUCUCCGGUUCUGGUAUCCUCAGGGGUCUUGGAACCAAUCCCCUGUGGAUAUGGAGGGAUGACAGUAUAUGGAUUAAAUUUUCUUCAAGGCCGAUGAUGAGAGUUACUCUGUGUUUCAAGCUAUAUAUCUUAAUGGGCAAAAGAUUAAGCAGUUCAAACCAGACAAUUGCUGUGACUAUUUACAGAUACCCAGAGAUGCUUUCAGGGGGUAAGAUUUGGGAAGACAAUGGUCAACUGACCUAUCCUCACCUCCCUCUGCAGCCUCAUUCAGGUGCCAGUACCCACCACUCUGCUCUAAGCCCAGAGACUCAGAUUCAGUGAAGAGUUUUACUGUCAGUUAAGGGGAUGUUAGGAAAAUGCCUGGUUUUAGCUCCAUUUCUUUUAUCUGUACACUAAAGGAUAGAUUUAAAAGGCCUCUUCCAGCUCUUAAGUUAUACGGGAUGACUUUUACUAUCCAGAAGUGGAUCCCCAGGGCAACAUAGUUGUAGGAAGUUAGAGAUGAGGUUUCUAUUGCUAUUAUGUUAGUUUUAGGACCAGGGAAACAGGAAUACCUGAAUCCACUUAGUACUCCUCCCCUCAGUUUUCUAGGUAAGGAGCUGUUUAAGAACAGUAGCUAAAUGGAUAUGAAAUCUCUGCUAUAUUAAUAGCUGACCAGUGAACACUGACCUCCAAAGCAUGCCUCUGGCGGAAGCUGAGUUGGAGAAUCCGGCUAAGGCAUGAGGACUUAAGCGAGGCUGUUACGCUCUCCUUCUCGAUUCUGAGAUGGCCGCCAUUUCUGCGGAGGGCUCCCUACCUUAACCUGGUUAGAUGAUGAGUAGGCCACAUAGAGAUGUAGAAAGCCUGGUGAGGCCAUCUUCUUAGGUUUAGGCCUAGAACAGAGGGACAGUUUAGGUGAGGAUUCCAGAAACAGACUCUUGGGCUAGGAUACAGGUGCAAGUGACUUAUUAAGGAAGGGCCCCCAGGGGAGACCUGCAAGGGCGUGGAGGAAGAGACUAGGGAAGGGGCAGAGCCAAGCAAGGGCGCAUUCCAGAUGAGCUCCCAGACUCAGCCUGAUAUCGUGGGGAGCUCUGGAGUGUCACUGACAUCUCAGGUUCUUUUCCCCUGAGGUGUGGACGUUGUGCUUUUUACUUAU
Molecule: long non-coding RNA, 5139 nt
Organism: Pan troglodytes (chimpanzee)
Lineage: Eukaryota; Metazoa; Chordata; Mammalia; Primates; Hominidae
Exons: 9
Source: RefSeq, a predicted model, not a curated record